GAUGAACGCUAGCUACAGGCUUAACACAUGCAAGUCGAGGGGAAACGACAUCGAAAGCUUGCUUUUGAUGGGCGUCGACCGGCGCACGGGUGAGUAACGCGUAUCCAACCUGCCCACCACUUGGGGAUAACCUUGCGAAAGUAAGACUAAUACCCAAUGAUAUCUCUAGAAGACAUCUGAAAGAGAUUAAAGAUUUAUCGGUGAUGGAUGGGGAUGCGUCUGAUUAGCUUGUUGGCGGGGUAACGGCCCACCAAGGCAACGAUCAGUAGGGGUUCUGAGAGGAAGGUCCCCCACAUUGGAACUGAGACACGGUCCAAACUCCUACGGGAGGCAGCAGUGAGGAAUAUUGGUCAAUGGACGAGAGUCUGAACCAGCCAAGUAGCAUGCAGGAAGACGGCCCUAUGGGUUGUAAACUGCUUUUAUAAGGGAAUAAAGUGAGUCUCGUGAGACUUUUUGCAUGUACCUUAUGAAUAAGGACCGGCUAAUUCCGUG
RNAcentral lists this ribosomal RNA (492 nucleotides) under uncultured bacterium. Its description in RNAcentral is "partial 16S ribosomal RNA". It matches the Rfam family "Bacterial small subunit ribosomal RNA", at positions 28 to 507 of the family's 1533-position model. The record is from RNAcentral.